Molecule: ribosomal RNA, 236 nt
Filed under: uncultured bacterium
Lineage: Bacteria
Description: partial 16S ribosomal RNA
Rfam family: Bacterial small subunit ribosomal RNA
Source: RNAcentral
UGAGCAAUCUGCCCUUCUCUUCGGAAUAAGCGUUGGAAACGACGUCUAAUGCCGAAUACGACCUCCUUUCGCAUGAUCGGAGGUGGAAAGCUCCGGCGGAGAAGGAUGAGCUCGCGGCCUAUCAGCUAGUUGGUGUGGGUAAUGGCCCACCAAGGCGACGACGGGUAGCCGGCCUGAGAGGGUGACCGGCCACACUGGGACUGAGACACGGCCCAGACUCCGUACGGGAGGNAGCG